UUUGCGACCGAAAACACUACAUUCGACCGAAUCGCGAUCAGGAAUCGUUCCUGGGCCAAUAACCUAUUGGGCGAACUACUUUCGGACAAUAAAACACCGGAAUUAACUUUAAUAAAACCGCGAACAUUUAUUGCUGACUUUCUCUUAUUGAGUUCAGAAUACUAAUGAAAGGCAAACACACAAACAGCGCUUUGGCGCGUAAACAUCGGAAAUAGCAUUGGGCGCUAUGCAUAAAAGAAUCGCUUACACACUAAUCAGAAAUUGUAUACACUGAUAUUAAAACUCCAUUAUAAUUUAUGUGCGAAAACCAUAUAGAAGCAGGUUUUCUGCCUCCAACAAUCUUUUAUGUGCCACUUUUAAAUUUUAUUUGUGGACAAUAAAUUUCAAAGUCUAUGCAUGUAUAUACCACUAGCAUUGCAAUGCAUUAUAAAGGUUACAUUAGUACAACCUAUUUAAGCUGCCAAUAUUUUUGAAGAGCACAAACUUGUAUACCAACGGUUGCAAAAAUGUAUCGCCAUCUUAUUUCUUCGCUGCUACUGUACGAGUUUUCCCAAAGUAUUAUCAUUAACAGUAAUACACAUCGCAUUUCAGCCAAAUAUGUGGAUGUUCAGUGUAUUAUAUCUGGGAUAGCAAGAAUAAGUUCUGUCCAAAAAAAUGCAAUCGCGUCGGAAUCAAAUUCUAAGACGAUGAGCUCCAAUGAACAUGUAUCCCGCUCAUGCAAUGACUAUUGGUUAAAUCAUGCGAUGCGCUGGACGCAAUGGAAGAACACAGUGGUCCCACAUUCUCCAGCAGCACUCGUACAGACUCCCACGCUCUUGUUGGUAUCAUCCCCGUAGCUGCUAACAUCAACACGACCAGAUAAUUUACUAUUUCGUGGAUUUCUAACUGGAUCCCGUUAGAAUAUGUAUUAACUUUUAUUCUCCUUAAUAAAUGUGUAUUACUGUAUGCGUA
Molecule: long non-coding RNA, 951 nt
Organism: Aedes aegypti (yellow fever mosquito)
Lineage: Eukaryota; Metazoa; Arthropoda; Insecta; Diptera; Culicidae
Exons: 2
Source: RefSeq, a predicted model, not a curated record